CAGCAGCCGCGGUAAUACGGGGGGAGCAAGCGUUGUUCGGAAUCACUGGGCGUAAAGGGCGUGUAGGUGGUCAGGUAAGUGGGAUGUGAAAUCCCUCGGCUCACCCGAGGACCUGCAUCCCAAACUGCUUGGCUUGAGUAUGGGAGAGGAUGAGGGAAUUCCUGGUGUAGCGGUGAAAUGCGUAGAUAUCAGGAGGAACACCGGUGGCGAAAGCGCUCAUCUGGCCCAAUACUGACGCUGAGGCGCGAAAGCUAGGGGAGCAAACGGGAUUAGAUACCCCGGUAGUCCUAGCCGUAAACGGUGAUCACUAGGUGUUGGAGGCAUCGACCCCUCCAGUGCCGCAGCUAACGCAUUAAGUGAUCCGCCUGGGGAGUACGGCCGCAAGGUUGAAACUCAAAGGAAUUGACGG
RNAcentral lists this ribosomal RNA (409 nucleotides) under uncultured bacterium. RNAcentral's name for it is "bacterial SSU rRNA". It matches the Rfam family "Bacterial small subunit ribosomal RNA", at positions 509 to 916 of the family's 1533-position model. The record is from RNAcentral.